This 501-nucleotide ribosomal RNA is filed under the name Triticum aestivum (bread wheat). Its description in RNAcentral is "partial small subunit ribosomal RNA". Lineage: Eukaryota; Viridiplantae; Streptophyta; Magnoliopsida; Poales; Poaceae. The record is from RNAcentral.
GAAGUAAUGAAAAAUUUGGUACCAUAAGGCGGUUUUGAGAUUUUGGCGACUCGAUCGUUUGCAUCGGAAUUACUACGCCUCCUUAUAUACAAAGGGUGUGCUACCUGGACAGGCUUUCGAGAUAGUACGGGUUAAAACAUGAUCAUGCAAAUAAUAUCAGUUAGUCACAAAGUAUGUUGGACAAUUAUUAUGAUCUUUUGAUGUAUUUAUCUUUACAAGAUACGGUGGUCGAAGUUGGUUUAGAAUUGUAUAACUUACGAGAUCGGAGUUCGUUAGCAGUUGAACUACUUUACCGUUUCAAGUGCGCGAACCGAUUAGUGGAGAUAUAAAAAGAAGUCCAGGGAAGACGUCAUAGUAUUUGUUUAGGAAAGUGACUCUUUAUCGUCCACUGUGUGUAUCUAUCGAGAUCAAGAAAGAGAGAACUGAGUUUCAAUCUAUUUGAUGCCUUUGCAAGUGUUAAACGGAACCCAUAUUGUAACACAAGAAGUCGACAGAAGUAAA